GGCAGAACAGGCACCCCAGGGUUCAGGUCCACGUUAGAACAUCUGGGCCCAUCUCAGAUCAACUGAAUUAGAAUGUCUAGGGGUGAAACCUGGGCAUCAACAAUUAUUUAAAAAAGUAAGUCUGAUGUGUGGCCAUGUUGAAAACCUCUACCUGAGAGAGUUUCUGUUUUGCGUUGUUUUUACCUUAAUCAGAGGAAAAAUUAUAGUUGGAGACCAAGAGGCUAGAGCUAUGAUCAUCACAAAACGUAAACUCCAAGGUUUUUAACGAUAAAAUGUGAACACUUGUGUCUGAGCUAAGCAGCAGUUCUAACCACUGUAACCAUGUGCUAAGAAUCCGGCCAGGUGGGACACUGCGGAACGUGGUAGCAGAUCAACUGGCAACAGGGCUUCAAGGAAAUCUUAAUGAUAUUGGACAUUUCGUUUUUCCUGGUGUACAAGACAGAGUCAAAAGAUGAAAGUGGUGUUUCUGAUCACUUUCCUUUUGGUCACAGCUCACUGCGCACCAGUCCAAGAAUUUCAUCCUGCAAUUCUCUAUCAUCAGUUCUUGCACUGGAAGCAACUUCAGAGGUUAUAUAAACUCUUGAAUAACUGUAGGAAACCACCAAUGAACAGAAGAACUACCAUGGUCCCCACGCCACCAUUUCCACCAAUAACAGAAAUUGCUCCUCCUUUGACUUCUAACCCACCAGUCCCUCCUACCCCCGACCAGCGGGGAGAUUCACUAUUCACGAAGUUCUGAAGGAACUCAUUAGCCCAAUGCAGCUUCUCCCUCCAGGAAUUCUUUAGUACCACAGCUGAAGAUCAAAGACAUUAUCUGGCUGCUCCCUGUACCACAGUGUGCCCUUUUCAAUAUCCUGGAUAAAAUGACAAUGAUUCAUUAAAAAUGUUUAUAUCACUAUAUUAUGCCCAAGUGGAAUAUCAUUUCCCAUCAUUACCAGCAUUGUAAAAGAAGGAUGAGGAAAAUGAUCAAAGGAAU
This 976-nucleotide long non-coding RNA is filed under the name Equus asinus (donkey). RNAcentral's name for it is "lncRNA (ENSEASG00005035289.1, ENSEASG00020007710.1)". The record is from RNAcentral. Lineage: Eukaryota; Metazoa; Chordata; Mammalia; Perissodactyla; Equidae.